ACACAAAUACUGUAUACAUGCUGC
This 24-nucleotide non-coding RNA is filed under the name Cricetulus griseus (Chinese hamster). Lineage: Eukaryota; Metazoa; Chordata; Mammalia; Rodentia; Cricetidae. The record is from RNAcentral.